Pseudoliparis swirei is the source of this 1094-nucleotide long non-coding RNA. RefSeq lists it as uncharacterized. The record is from RefSeq and is a predicted model, not a curated record. The transcript has 8 exons. NCBI's taxonomy places the organism in Eukaryota, Metazoa, Chordata, Actinopteri, Perciformes, Liparidae.
AACUCACCCUAUAAAUAGGUUUGCGUCACGUCGUAUGUUCUCUUCUCACGGCUCUCUGACUCGAGUCCACACCGGAGUCGCCACCGCAUUGCAGGAUGACAGCCAAACUCUUCCCUGUAGGAUAUGACUUACUGCCACGUGUGAUGGAGGGAACCUUACCCGACUGUUGGAGCUGCCCUUCUGGGACAUGAGGUGCUGUGGAGCUCAGACCAGCUUGUAGGUUUCCUCACUGCCCGGGGCUUCUGCACCGAUGCAACAUGUGAAACAUCAUUGAAGGAUGGCCUGCUUAUCCCAGACCUCAGCAGGGAUUUUGCUUAAAAAGUCCGUUGUGAUGCUGGAGCUCUGAACUUGUAGCAGGCUGAGACUGAACUUGAAGCAGCAGUCUCUGCUGCUCAGCGAAGCCUCGCAUCAGACCAGAAGGACCUAAACCUGAGAUUGUGAAUUGAUCCUGGAGGCGUGGCAUGAGGAGCAUCUCUACCUUCUGGCUGUAAGUAAUGGUUCAUAUUAUUGGUCAUAUACCAAGGCUCUCAGGACAACCCCGUUCCUGUCUCGCUGUGGAAUUGACCAGAAAUCAACCCCCAUCCCACAGGUCCUCUGCAGCAACCGCUCAGAGGACCUGUGGGAACAUGUUGUCUUAUAAUGUGAAAUAAAACUGAUUGUUUUACAGAUUGGACCGACAUUAAUUUUACAUUUUCAGAUUGAAGUGAUCGUGGAGGCGUGGCUACAGGAGCGUCGCCGCCUGCUUCCCUCUGUGAGUAACGGUCCUGUUCUUCAUGUUGGUCAUAUACCAAGGCUCUCAGGACUCCCCGUUCCUGUCUCGCUGUGGAAUUGACCAGAAAUAAACCCCCAUCCCACUGGGCCUCUGCAGCAGCCGCUCAGAGGACCUGCUGGGAACAUGUUGUCUAAAGUCAGAUCGUCUGUAAAAAAUAAAGUAAAUGAAGUGGUGGACUGACCUCCUUGCUGGUGAACUUAAUGGCUGAACCUUUCCUUGUCAGGUUGAGCUGAUCUGCUGGUGACCGACGGAGACGCAGCUGUGAGCCCUCUGAUUGGCUGUGUUGUCUACUUAUUAUCUAAUAAAAUAUUACACACCACAA